RNAcentral lists this ribosomal RNA (303 nucleotides) under uncultured bacterium. RNAcentral's name for it is "partial 16S ribosomal RNA". It matches the Rfam family "Bacterial small subunit ribosomal RNA", at positions 355 to 649 of the family's 1533-position model. The record is from RNAcentral.
UAGGGAAUCUUCCACAGUGGACGCAAGUCUGAUGGAGCAACGCCGCGUGAGUGAAGAAGGCUUUCGGGUCGUAAAACUCUGUUAUUGAAGAAGAACGUGUGUGACAGUAACUGGUCAUGCAGUGACGGUAUUCAAUCAGAAAAGUCACGGCUAACUACGUGCCAGCAGCCGCGGUAAUACGUAGGUGGCAAGCGUUGUCCGGAUUUAUUGGGCGUAAAGCGAGUGCAGGCGGUCUUUUAAGUCUGAUGUGAAAGCCUUCGGCUUAACCGAAGAAGGGCAUCGGAAACUGGGAGACUUGAGNGC